UAAAAACAAAUAUUUAAAUCAGAACUGGCUGAAAACAGAAGUAAUACUUCAACUACCAAAUUUGGCACCUUACAAUCAAACAUACACCACGUUUAUAGUCGAACAUACUUCACAUCAGGUUUACAACCACCAAGAACAAAACUAAAUAUCAAAAUAUAACUAUCUAUCAGAGUAUAACUAGCUCCAAUGAGCUAGAACUCAAUGCUUCUUCACUUCUUGGAGACCUGCUUGACGUCAGGGUGCUUCUCCUGAGUGUUUCUUCCAGCCACAUGCAUGCCUCAAGAUCUGCAAAUGCUGCCACGGAAUGCCAGCAAAAAGUGUAUCAGCCAGCUAUAAGAAAAAUGCAAUGCUUCAAAUUAGUUUCAAUCAAGAGCCAACUCGGAUCAUUAUGCAACAAUGUUAUUUUUAAUCUGGACAAGCAUUCCAUAUUUCGUAUAGUAAACUGAAUCAUGUAUGCUUGCUGGCAUAUAGGAAUUGGACUGCCGCAGAUCCUUGGUUGGCAUGUUUCACCAGCAAGAUGACGCAAUGAGAAACUCAAAAAUAAUGAUUUUGCAUGCUAUGUACAUCAAGUGAAAAGGAACAAGUUAUAUAGUAGCCUCAAGUAGAGCAAGUGUACAACAACUUGAUAAAAGAAUGCUCAGUCAUGGCAUUCGAUUUCACAAGAAAAGAAUGUGUAAGGUGCAAUGUUGAGUACACUUUGUAAUUCUAUAAUAAUUUGUAGUGCACUGUGGCUAGAAGCCAGAGCACACUUGAAGCUACAAACUAUGCAACAAGCCUGAAACUCAAACAACAGGAAGCAGAGUUGAGUUCCUAGCCAUCAGACAAGACUGAAACUCCCAGCAUUUGCCUCUCAAAUUUUUAUAUAGAGUAAAAAUUCCCAGCAGGGUAGAUAGGCAUAUGCUACUGUUUAGAAUUGCAUUAUAAAUUGUGAGAAGUCUUCGAAUACAGAGUCUUGUGCAAGUUAUUACAAUCAGUAUGAUGUUGUCAAGGUCGUCCAAGUACUUGCCCUUUUAGAUGCAUAUAUAGGUAUAUGUAGGAGAAUAACAUAGUACUAGUCGCACCUACUAGAUGUAUUUCAGAACGAGAGGUCAAAAUAGGUAAAAAUAAUGAUGCAAGCUAUGCUCUACAAUAGAAGCAUUCAGAGAGGUGAACGGAACACCAUCUUUUCCUUUGAGGAGCAAACAAGGAAUGACUGCAUUCACAAAGUAUAGAUGGAAAAACGCAACAUAUGCCAUGGAAAUGUUGAUCCAGUGACUUAAAUUUCAGAGUAGAUGGCAGGAAACUUGGCCUGCUUUCUAUAUGCAGUAUGUGCCAAACUAGCAUGUCACUAAUACACAGACUAGAUUGGAAACUGGGUCCUGAAUGAGUGAAUUUUACAUAUUCAGUUGCCGCACGCAACCAAUCAAGACCCUGCAACUGCAAGGUGUCAUUUGUUCAUCCUACCAAGAACAGAUGAAGCAUCUUUCCCUUUGAUUAGCAGACAAGGCACGACUGCAACUCAAGCCAUUGGAAUGCAAAUCCACUCCACUGGCAUCACAUCACAUACUACAAAUUUCAGAGGAAACAACCCAUGUGCAGUAGUACGUGCUACAGCAGCCUACAGCCUAGUGAGAGGAGCAGCUACAGCCACAUCUGAUGUAUACUCUGCUCUCAGGAAUCCAUCCGGGGAAAAUAAAAUUAAAGAACAAGAAGAUGGAUGGAGUGCGGCGGGUGGAGAAUCACCUUGAAGAUGGGCGGCUUGAGGGGCUCGGAGCAGAUCCUUCAGCAGAGAGCCGUCGAGGUCUUGAAGACUGUGGUGGGUCGCCAUGGCCUGUACUACCUGCAGCUUCAUCCCGUCGCUGGUUCAUCCCGUCGCUGUGGUGGAUCCUGCAGCAGAUCCUACAGCUUCAUCCCGUCGUUGGUUGUCGUUCCUCCUGUACUACCUGCAGAGACAGAGACG
RNAcentral lists this long non-coding RNA (1939 nucleotides) under Triticum aestivum (bread wheat). RNAcentral describes it as "long non-coding RNA (TAES_LNC005313)". The record is from RNAcentral. Lineage: Eukaryota; Viridiplantae; Streptophyta; Magnoliopsida; Poales; Poaceae.